ACCUGGGAUAGCUCAGUGGGUGGAGCAUGAGACUCUAAAUCUCAGGUUUGUGGAUUCGAAUCCCACAUUGGGCG
Non-coding RNA from Podarcis lilfordi (Lilford's wall lizard), 74 nucleotides. Lineage: Eukaryota; Metazoa; Chordata; Lepidosauria; Squamata; Lacertidae. The record is from the annotation of a GenBank genome assembly.